RNAcentral lists this ribosomal RNA (450 nucleotides) under uncultured bacterium. Its description in RNAcentral is "partial 16S ribosomal RNA". It matches the Rfam family "Bacterial small subunit ribosomal RNA", at positions 354 to 796 of the family's 1533-position model. The record is from RNAcentral.
GUGGGGAAUCUUCCGCAAUGGACGAAAGUCUGACGGAGCAACGCCGCGUGAGUGAUGAAGGUCUUCGGAUUGUAAAGCUCUGUUAAUCGGGACGAAAGAGCCUAGUGUGAAUAAUGCUAGGAAGUGACGGUACCGGAAUAGAAAGCCACGGCUAACUACGUGCCAGCAGCCGCGGUAAUACGUAGGUGGCAAGCGUUGUCCGGAAUUAUUGGGCGUAAAGCGCGCGCAGGCGGAUCUGCCAGUCUGUCUUAAAAGUUCGGGGCUUAACCCCGUGAUGGGAUGGAAACUACAGAUCUAGAGUAUCGGAGAGGAAAGUGGAAUUCCUAGUGUAGCGGUGAAAUGCGUAGAUAUUAGGAAGAACACCAGUGGCGAAGGCGACUUUCUGGACGAAAACUGACGCUGAGGCGUGAAAGCCAGGGGAGCGAACGGGAUUAGAAACCCUUGUAGUCC